UACAGAGGGGGCAAGCGUUGUUCGGAAUUACUGGGCGUAAAGGGCGCGUAGGCGGCCUGCUAAGUCGAACGUGAAAUCCCCGAGCUCAACUCGGGAACUGCGUCCGAUACUGGCAGGCUUGAAUCCGGGAGAGGGGUGCGGAAUUCCAGGUGUAGCGGUGAAAUGCGUAGAUAUUGGGAGGAACACCGGUGGCGAAGGCGGCCAUCUGGGAAGGUACUGACGCUGAGACGCGAAAGCGUGGGGAGCAAACAGG
This 253-nucleotide ribosomal RNA is filed under the name uncultured bacterium. RNAcentral describes it as "partial 16S ribosomal RNA". It matches the Rfam family "Bacterial small subunit ribosomal RNA", at positions 524 to 776 of the family's 1533-position model. The record is from RNAcentral.